This 396-nucleotide ribosomal RNA is filed under the name uncultured soil bacterium. RNAcentral describes it as "bacterial SSU rRNA". It matches the Rfam family "Bacterial small subunit ribosomal RNA", at positions 26 to 433 of the family's 1533-position model. The record is from RNAcentral.
AGAUUGAACGCUGGCGGCAUGCCUAACACAUGCAAGUCGAACGGGAGUAGCAAUACUCUAGUGGCGGACAGGUGAGGAAUACGUAGGAAUUUGCCCUUAAGUGGGGGAUAACCCGGGGAAACCCGGAUUAAUACCGCAUGACCUCGAAAGAGCAAAGUGGGGGAUCGCAAGACCUCACGCUUUUGGAGAAGCCUACGUCGGAUUAGCUAGUUGGUGAGGUAAUGGCUCACCAAGGCGACGAUCCGUAACUGGUCUGAGAGGAUGAUCAGUCACACCGGAACUGAGACACGGUCCGGACUCCUACGGGAGGCAGCAGUGGGGAAUAUUGGACAAUGGGCGCAAGCCUGAUCCAGCAAUGCCGCGUGCGUAGGAAGAAGGCCUUCGGGUUGUAAACGU